GUGGGAGUGUUGGCUCCCAUUUCCUUGGCACCAGCAACUCCACAUCUCAGCAACAUGGAUUUAAAGAAUUUAAGGCACUGUCAACAGUUACUGCAGGGAGGGCAGUGGAGAUUCAAGAUAUUGCUUUUGAAGUGCUUCCAGAUUGUACCUAAAGCUGAGCCUAGAUCUGUGAGAGAGGAGACUAUAACCUUACCUGCUCCACUGAAGUUGGAGGUGGGGUGCUGUGUGUUAAAGGCUUACACUGGGCAUCUGCACAGGGGCUCUGGCUUCUUCACCUGGCUCUGCUGCUGUUCCAGCUGAAUGG
This is a long non-coding RNA of Melospiza melodia melodia, 304 nucleotides long. RefSeq lists it as uncharacterized. NCBI's taxonomy places the organism in Eukaryota, Metazoa, Chordata, Aves, Passeriformes, Passerellidae. The record is from RefSeq and is a predicted model, not a curated record. The transcript is spliced from 3 exons.